UUAUUCCUGUACCGACUGUAAGUGCGAUGUGGGGACGGAAGGUUAGCUCAGCCAACUGUUGGAUAUGUUGGUUCAAGCGUGUAGUCGUAUCCCUUAGGCAAAUCCGGGGGAAUUAGAUGAGGCGUGAUAACGAGUCUGCUUGCAGACGAAGUGAGUGAUACCCUGCUUCCAGGAAAAGCCACUAAGCUUCAGCUUACAGUUGACCGUACCGCAAACCGACACUGGUGCGCGAGAUGAGUAUUCUAAGGCGCUUGAGAGAACUCUGGAGAAGGAACUCGGCAAAUUGACACCGUAACUUCGGAAGAAGGUGUGCCUUUAGUAGGUGAUGGGAUUUACUCCUUGAGCCCAAUGAGGCCGCAGAGAAUCGGUGGCUGCAACUGUUUAUUAAAAACACAGCACUCUGCAAAGACGAAAGUCGACGUAUAGGGUGUGACUCCUGCCCGGUGCUGGAAGAUUAAAUGAUGGGGUGCAAGCUCUUGACUGAAGUCCCAGUAAACGGCGGCCGUAACUAUAACGGUCCUAAGGUAGCGAAAUUCCUUGUCGGGUAAGUUCCGACCUGCACGAAUGGAGUAAUGAUGGCCACACUGUCUCCUCCAGAGACUCAGCGAAGUUGAAAUGUUUGUGAUGAUGCAAUCUCCCCGCGGAAAGACGGAAAGACCCCAUGAACCUUUACUGUAGCCUUACAUUGGACUUUGAACAGAUCUGUGUAGGAUAGGUGGGAGGCUUUGAAGUAGGGACGCUAGUUUCUAUGGAGCCAACGUUGAAAUACCACCCUGGUGUGUUCGAGGUUCUAACCUUGGUCCCUUAUCGGGAUUGGGGACAGUGUAUGGUGGGCAGUUUGACUGGGGCGGUCUCCUCCCAAAGUGUAACGGAGGAGUUCAAAGGUACGCUAAAUACGGUCGGAAAUCGUGUUGAUAGUGCACUGGCAUAAGCGUGCUUGACUGCGAGACUGACAAGUCGAGCAGGUACGAAAGUAGGACAAAGUGAUCCGGUGGUUCUGUAUGGAAGGGCCAUCGCUCAACGGAUAAAAGGUACUCUGGGGAUAACAGGCUGAUACCGCCCAAGAGUUCAUAUCGACGGCGGUGUUUGGCACCUCGAUGUCGGCUCAUCUCAUCCUGGGGCUGUAGCCGGUCCCAAGGGUAUGGCUGUUCGCCAUUUAAAGAGGUACGUGAGCUGGGUUUAAAACGUCGUGAGACAGUUUGGUCCCUAUCUUCCGUGGGCGCUGCAAGAUUGAGAGAGCCUGCUCCUAGUACGAGAGGACCGGAGUGGACGCACCUCUGGUGUAUCGGUUGUCACGCCAGUGGCAUCGCCGAGUAGCUAAGUGCGGAAGAGAUAACCGCUGAAAGCAUCUAAGCGGGAAACUCGUCUCAAGAUGAGUCUUGCCGGGGCCUAGAGCCCCCUGAAGGGUCGUUCGAGACCAGGACGUUGAUAGGCUGGGUGUGGAAGCGCAGUAAUGCGUUAAGCUAACCAGUACUAAUUGCCCGUGAGGCUUGAUCAA
RNAcentral lists this ribosomal RNA (1498 nucleotides) under metagenome. RNAcentral describes it as "bacterial LSU rRNA". It matches the Rfam family "Bacterial large subunit ribosomal RNA", at positions 1433 to 2925 of the family's 2925-position model. The record is from RNAcentral.